CAGUCGCCGCGGUAACACGAAGGGGGCUAGCGUUGUUCGGAAUUACUGGGCGUAAAGGGCGCGUAGGCGGCGACGAUAGUCAGAAGUGAAAGCCCUGGGCUCAACCCGGGAAUUGCGCUUGAUACUGGUACGCUUGAAUCCAGGAGAGGUUGGUGGAAUUCCCAGUGUAGAGGUGAAAUUCGUAGAGAUUGGGAAGAACACCGGUGGCGAAGGCGGCCAACUGGACUGGUAUUGACGCUGAUGCACGAAAGCUAGGGGAGCAAACAGGAUUAGAUACCCCCGUAGUCCCUGUCUCUUAUAC
This 301-nucleotide ribosomal RNA is filed under the name uncultured bacterium. Its description in RNAcentral is "partial 16S ribosomal RNA". It matches the Rfam family "Bacterial small subunit ribosomal RNA", at positions 509 to 807 of the family's 1533-position model. The record is from RNAcentral.